AUUGAACGCUGGCGGCAGGCUUAACACAUGCAAGUCGAGCGGAGCGAGGGUGCUUGCACCUUAGCUUAGCUGCGGACGGGUGAGUAAUGCUUAGGAAUCUGCCUAUUAGUGGGGGACAACAUUCCGAAAGGGAUGCUAAUACCGCAUACGCCCUACGGGGGAAAGCAGGGGAUCUUCGGACCUUGCGCUAAUAGAUGAGCCUAAGUCGGAUUAGCUAGUUGGUGGGGUAAAGGCCUACCAAGGCGACGAUCUGUAGCGGGUCUGAGAGGAUGAUCCGCCAACCUGGGAGUGUGCCAAGGCCCAGGCUCCACCGGGGGGUAGCAGUGGGGAGUAGUGGAGGAUGGGCGGAAGCCUGAGCCAGCCAUGCCGCGUGUGUGAAGAAGGCCGUUUGGUGGUAAAGCACUUUAAGCGAGGAGGAGGCUACUAGUAUUAAUACUACUGGAUAGUGGACGUUACUCGCAGAAGAAGCACCGGCUAACUCUGUGCCAGCCGCCGCAGUAA
This 501-nucleotide ribosomal RNA is filed under the name uncultured bacterium. RNAcentral's name for it is "partial 16S ribosomal RNA". It matches the Rfam family "Bacterial small subunit ribosomal RNA", at positions 30 to 523 of the family's 1533-position model. The record is from RNAcentral.